AAUACAUGUUUAAUCUUAUCAGGUGGUGAAAGGUCUGGAGAGCUGGUAGGCCAGUUCAUCAAAUUCAUGACUGAUGCUGUUGAAAUCAGAAGAGAAUACAUCGCCAAAGGUCUUUGCGUGUACCUGAAUGAAGAUCCUGAGAAGCUGGUGAAGGAUUACCUGGAAGUUGAUAACAAGCAUCGCCACUGCCAUAGCAGAGACAGUCUUUGGAAUCUGUGUCAUUC
Molecule: long non-coding RNA, 224 nt
Organism: Maylandia zebra (zebra mbuna)
Lineage: Eukaryota; Metazoa; Chordata; Actinopteri; Cichliformes; Cichlidae
Source: RefSeq, a predicted model, not a curated record